Molecule: ribosomal RNA, 203 nt
Filed under: uncultured bacterium
Lineage: Bacteria
Description: partial 16S ribosomal RNA
Rfam family: Bacterial small subunit ribosomal RNA
Source: RNAcentral
UCGCAGGCUGCAACUCGCCUGCGUGAAGUUGGAAUUGCUAGUAAUCGCGGAUCAGCAUGCCGCGGUGAAUACGUUCCCGGGCCUUGUACACACCGCCCGUCACACCAUGGGAGUUUGUAACACCCGAAGUCAGUAUCCUAACCGCAAGGGGGGAGCUGCCGAAGGUGGGAUAAGCGACUGGGGUGAAGUCGUAACAAGGUACC